GAUGGGCUGGCAAAAUCUGCACCACUCACCCACUCCCCAUUCCCAUCUGCCCCAUCAGGACCAGCUACUAUCUCCACACAUGCCCCUCAUCUCUCUCCAUUUGGCCCCCUCCCCAUGAAAAUCCACUCACGUUCACAACAUGGGACCCCUCUGAAAUAGACCCCAACCCCACCUCCACGUCUACUAUUAUUUAGGUUGAAUGAAUUAAAAAUGGUAGGGAAAUUAUAUUACAUACGCGGAGAGGUCGACAGUCACAAAACGACACCCUCAUCUCCCUACCAGGGCAGGUCUCUGUGCUAAUUUUUUGAAUUACAAACGCGGAUAGUUUGAGAGGGGGAGCCUCCGGGUUAAGAUUUGGGGCAGACAAGAGGGGGACAUCCCCACGAUCUGCUAUUUUCUCACGCUUUCUCAUCCACACCAGCCAAUCAUGCCAUCAGGUGCAAAGAAGAGAAAAGCUGCUAAGAAAAAGAGGGAAAAGGAUGCCCAUAAAAACUCUGGUAGUAACGCACAAGGGAAUGGUGAUUUGAAAAAUCAAGAUGACAAGGACAGUGAUGGGGCGGAAGUUAGUUCUCCGACAUCUCAGGACCAAAAUCCAUUCGUUGACAGAGAGGAGGAGGUGGAGGACGAGGAAAAGAGGGAUGCUCAAUCUGUUCAAUCAUUCGAUGAUGAGAGCAAAUCCGCCGAGCAAACCCCUGAUGAUGGGAAGGCUACCCAGGAAGCAGAAGGAGAGGGUGUUGUUGAAAUUGUGAGAGAAUUAAAAUCUGAAGAGGUUUCUGAGAGCCAAAAGGUCAGUAUUGAGUAUGUUGAAUCUACCAAGGUGUCAGGUGAGGGAGGCUCUUCUGAGGACAGUGGGAGUUCUAGCAGCAGUAGUUCAGAUGAUGAGUCUCAAGUCACUAAGAAGAGUUCUGAAGUUGUGGGGUCAGGGAACUUGAAGGUGGAAACAUAUAAUUCGGUUUCAGAAACUGCCCCUGUUGAUGAUUUGGUUAAGCCAGAUUUUACUUUGUCUGAAGGGGUAUCUUGUGAUACCAAGAGUGCACCAGUAGAUGAGGUUUAUAAUUCAGUUGUGGAGACCGCUUCUGUUGUUGAUUCAGUCAAGCCAGAAGUUUCUUCUUCUGAAGUGGUGAAUUUGGUUUUGGAAACUACCCCUGUUGGUGAUUCAGUUAAGCCAUAUGCUUCUUUGUCUGAAGAGGUGACUUCUGAUGCCAAAGGUGUGCCAGGUGAGGAGGCUUAUAAGUCUGCUGUGGAGACUGCUUCCGUUGUUGAUUUAGUUAAGCCAGAAAUGUCUGUGUCUGGAGAGGUGAUUUGUGUUACUGAUAGUGCUCCACUUGGGAAUUCAGUGGCUGCUGAUGUGGUUGAAUUAGGAUUGAAGGAAAAUGAAGAGAAAAAGUUGCCUGCAUCAAGUGGAAGUCCUGAUGUUUCACCAGUUAUGGUGGAUUUGGCAUCAAAGAAGACUGAGGAUAAAGUUUUUCCCUUACCAGAUGAGGGUGCAGGGCUAUCCUCCACUCUUGUAGGUUCUGAGGUGCUAGAAAAUGAGGAUGAACCAUUGCCAUCGUCAGAUGCUCCUAGUUUUGAAACUAGUAAUGGUGCGGAACAUGUUAAAAAUUCUGAAGUUCCUGAAUGCUCUGAAAAGCAGCCUCCGGCACCUUCUGCUCCACGAGCAGUGCAUAAGACUUCCUGGAUGGGUUGCUGUGGGCUGUUCGAUGUGCUAACAGGAUCCAGUAGAUAAUUUCAGGUGAGUAUAAUUUUAUGAAUGUCAAAAUGGAUAUACCUAACCAGGUAUUUGUAUUUAUUUUUAUAACCUUGUGAAACUUUUAUGUAUUCUAUGGUGUUUAAUUUAAGACUGGGAUAUAUUUGUUUAAGAUUAGCUUUUGGUAUAAAAAAUAAAAAAUAAAACUUUGGAUUUGCAAUUUGUGAUGAGAUGUUGCUGUUGGUAUGUAUUAAAGAUACCAAGAGUUUGUGCAUCAAGAACAAAGUUAGGUAAGCUUUCCCCUAGCAGCCAACCCCUCUCUGCCCUACUCCCCUAGAAGGGCAUAGGCUAUGUAUAUCUUUGCAUACCUUUGAACUAUAUUGGUAUGAUCGUGGCAUUAUAGCAUGAUUUUAUCUUGCUACCAAUAUAGUACUGCUGCAUACAUUAAAAUUUGCUCUUGAUGGUUGCAUAUAUGGUCAAGUGCAUGUAUGGAAAAAUAAAGAUGUAGGUAAAUUAACUUUAUGGCUAGCCACUAAUAGGAUGUUUCUUUUUCCUGUAAAUAUGGCAUCAUCUAAGCAUACUGGAUAUCAAUUGCAAUAAAUUGUACUUGCAUGGGUCAUAUACUUAAUGGGAUUUCUCCAAAGAAGGACUCAUAGAGUUUCUCCUUAAGCACCCUAGCAGGGAGGAAUAUUUCUGCUCUCAUCAUACUCUAGCACAGAAUCCUAGCAUGUUGUAUAGAUGAGGUGUCAAAACUGAUGACCAGAAACAUGAUGGCAAAUGUUUCUCAUGAUAGAUAUGUUUUUAUUUCCUGAUCACACAUUUGCUUACACAGUCCUGUAGAAUGUAAUACUUCAUUCAUUUGAAUCAUUAUUUUAUCUCCUUAUAACAUUAGCUGAACAAGUUGCAGGGAUAUCAUAUUGAAUAAAUUCCUUAGUAUCAUUUCAGAUAAUGUUUUAUACUAUUUAUGAGCAUAUAAUAUUCCAAUUUUAAAUGUUCUGAUACGGCACCCUACUUCUUAUUCAGAAACUUUAUGUCAUCGUCUGGAUGCUCUUACUGAUUGUAAGGAAUGCCAUUUGUUUGAUAAUACAAAUAAUUAUCAUAUUAUUUUCAGAUGGCCAAUUAAUUCUAGUUGGUAGAUGUGUUCUUACUUCUUACUAACGGAAAGUGUUAAUUUUCUCAGUUAUAUUUAAGCUGUGAGAUUGAUUUCUUUCUUUCUUUACUUUAUAAUUUUUCAUGGAUUUGUUGUAUUAAAGAUUCUGAUGAUUAAACUUAACUCAUGUUUCCACAUUUUUAUCUUUUAGCUAGAUGGUGAUUUUUCUCAAAGACAUUUUCUAUGUUUUUUUUUUUUUUUUUAAACCUCCUAAAAGAAUCUCUUACAGAGAGGGGUGUUCAAAGAGCAAAGGAGUUAGGCUGAUACUUGUUGUGAGAAUCAAACUAAUAAUCAAUUGAUACAUGGGCAUUUACCCCUUUAUGUGUCUGCUCUAGUAAUCCUACCCUCUGAAAUUGAAUCCAUGAGAAUCAAACUAAUAAUCAAUUGAUACAUGGGCAUUUACCCCUUUAUGUAUGUGCUCUAGUAAUCCUACCCUCUGAAAUUGAAUCCGUGAGAAUCGAACUAAUAACCAAUUGAUGCAUGGGCAUUUACCCACUUACGUAUCUGCUCUAGUAAUCCUACCCUCUGAAUUGAAUCCAUUGAAGUAUCUACUCGGUGUGGCACUGUAGAAUGUUUAAAGCAGAUGUCAAAGUCUGGAUUUUUGUAAUGAUAUGAUUUUCCCUCAUCUAUUGUUGAAGUUCUCGUCCUUUUUCUGUCUUCUUAAUAUUUGGAGCCUAAGAAAUGAAAGUUCCAAGCAAAACUUGCUGUACCUGCCAUGCUGGUUCAUUGGGAAAACCCACAAUUUGCUGUGGUGUAUCAGUCAGAAGCCUCUCCAUUUUGGGCUAGUUUGCAAGUUUGCAUUCAUCUAGUCCAUUGGGGUUCCUUACUGCAGUUUUAUCAGUUUUUUAAUUUGAAUGGGUUGGAAAGCUGUUAGAAUUUUCCACCCUCAAGAAUAUAUUAAAUUUAGUUGCCAAGACUCUUCCUCAAAGAUGGUGGGUCAUGAUCGGGAGAAGCAUCCAGGUUGGAGUGGCAGGCAGAUUCCAUUUCCAGCUUCAUCUGGCCUCUUCCAAGCUAAACAGAGCAUGAGGGGGGCUUCAGUGGACCAGUGAGCUUGUGAAGUAUUUUGAAUAAGAAUCAUUUCAAGUAUUUCUCUUUGAAGAAUAAUGGGCCAGAGGUCUGACUAGAUGAACAAUUACGGCUCUGCAGUAGUUUUAGUAUGAUGAUUGGUAGGCAGCUCAAUGCCCCUCACUUUGGCAACAAUUUUUCCUUGUUACUUCUGUGGUGGGUGGUUCUUUUUUAUCAUUGUUACCAAAUUUUAUGAAUGUGUAUUGACCUCUCUGCUCGAGGUAUAUCAUCUUGUGUAGGGAAGUUGCAUAGCCUAGAACUUACUAGUUUGGAUAUGAGUUUACUGUUUUACUUGAAUGUCGUUCAGCCUCCUGGUGUUACCAGUUGGACUGUCCUUUCUUUGAACUUGAGAUUCUUGUGGUUAGAGUACAAAAUAAUUUAGGACACUCAGAAAAA
This is an RNA transcript of Vitis vinifera (wine grape), 4298 nucleotides long. RefSeq lists it as uncharacterized. The transcript has 4 exons. The record is from RefSeq and is a predicted model, not a curated record. Lineage: Eukaryota; Viridiplantae; Streptophyta; Magnoliopsida; Vitales; Vitaceae.